CCAUUUGCUUUUUCAUGUCCGUUAGUUGAUCCUGCAUUUUUUUCAGCUCUUCUUGAUGAGUCUUGAGAGUUUCUUGCUGACUCUGCUCAGCUUUCUGUGCUGUCUGCUCCACAUUUUUCUGAAGCUGAACAGCCUUUUCAUUUGCUUUUGUAAGCUCAAGUUGUAUUUGCUCCAACUGCCUUUCUUUUAACCGUAGCUCAUCAU
Molecule: long non-coding RNA, 204 nt
Filed under: Gallus gallus (chicken)
Lineage: Eukaryota; Metazoa; Chordata; Aves; Galliformes; Phasianidae
Source: RNAcentral